GGGUAAAUGUGGCAUAGUGGUUUGAGUGUUAGACUAGGACUCUGGAGACCAUGGUUCAAUUCCCAGCUCAGUCA
Phrynosoma platyrhinos (Desert horned lizard) is the source of this 74-nucleotide non-coding RNA. NCBI's taxonomy places the organism in Eukaryota, Metazoa, Chordata, Lepidosauria, Squamata, Phrynosomatidae. The record is from the annotation of a GenBank genome assembly.